CGCUUAGGGUUCGAGGAGGGGCCUGCGUCCGAUUAGCUAGCUGGUGGGGUAAUGGCCUACCAGGGCAUCGGUCGGUAGCUGGUCUGAGAGGAUGAUCAGCCAGACUGGGACUGCGAACGGCCCAGACUCCUACGGGAGGCAGCAGUGGGGAAUUUUGGACAAUGGGCGCAGGCCUGAUCCAGCCAUGCCGCGUGCGGGAAGAAGGCCUUCGGGUUGUAAACCGCUUUUGUCAGGGAAGAAACGGCUUUUUCUAAUACAGAGAGCUAAUGACGGUACCUGAAGAAUAAGCACCGCUAACUACGUGCCAGCAGCCGCGGUAAUACGUAGGGUGCAAGCGUUAAUCGGAAUUACUGGGCGUAAAGCGUGCGCAGGCGGUUAUGCAAGACAGAUGUGAAAUCCCCGGGCUCAACCUGGGAACUGCAUUUGUGACUGCAUAGCUAGAGUACGGUAGAGGGGGAUGGAAUUCCGCGUGUAGCAGUGAAAUGCGUAGAUAUGCGGAGGAACACCGAUGGCGAAGGCAAUCCCCUGGACCUGUACUGACGCUCAUGCACGAAAGCGUGGGGAGCAAACAGGAUUAGAUACCCUGGUAGUCCACGCCCUAAACGAUGUCAACUGGUUGUUGGGAGGGUUUCUUCUCAGUAACGUAGUUAACGCGUGAAGUUGACCGCCUGGGGAGUACGGCCGCAAGGUUGAAACUCAAAGGAAUUGACGGGGACCCGCACAAGCGGUGGAUGAUGUGGUUUAAUUCGAUGCAACGCGAAAAACCUUACCUACCCUUGACAUGUCAGAAAUCCUGAAGAGAUUUGGGAGUGCUCGAAAGAGAAUCUGAACACAGGUGCUGCAUGGCCGUCGUCAGCUCGUGUCGUGAGAUGUUGGGUUAAGUCCCGCAACGAGCGCAACCCUUGUCAUUAGUUGCUACGAAAGGGCACUCUAAUGAGACUGCCGGUGACAAACCGGAGGAAGGUGGGGAUGACGUCAGGUCAUCAUGGCCCUUAUGGGUAGGGCUACACACGUCAUACAAUGGCCGGGACAGAGGGCCGCCAACCCGCGAGGGGGAGCUAAUCCCAGAAACCCGGUCGUAGUCCGGAUCGUAGUCUGCAACUCGACUGCGUGAAGUCGGAAUCGCUAGUAAUCGCGGAUCAGCUUGCCGCGGUGAAUACGUUCCCGGGUCUUGUACACACCGCCCGUCACACCAUGGGAGCGGGUUCUGCCAGAAGUAGUUAGCCUAACCGCAAGGAGGGCGAUUACCACGGCAGGGUUCGUGACUGGGGUGAAGUCG
Molecule: ribosomal RNA, 1279 nt
Filed under: metagenome
Description: bacterial SSU rRNA
Rfam family: Bacterial small subunit ribosomal RNA
Source: RNAcentral